RNAcentral lists this unclassified non-coding RNA (198 nucleotides) under uncultured fungus. RNAcentral describes it as "sequence contains ITS1, 5.8S rRNA gene". RNAcentral also lists the same sequence under 1 other name. The record is from RNAcentral. Lineage: Eukaryota; Fungi.
CAGAAUUGUCAAACGGGUUGUUGCUGGCCCUCAAUGGGGGCAUGUGCACGCUCUGUUUACACAUCCACUCACACCUGUGCACUCUCAGUAGUUCUGUGGUCUGGGGGACCCUGUCUCCCUUCCAUGGUCCUACGUCUUUACACACACACACUGUAACAAGUCCUAUGGAAUGUACGUCGCGUCUAACGCAAUACAAUA